This is an RNA transcript of Alexandromys fortis (reed vole), 2694 nucleotides long. It is a transcript of the gene named adaptor related protein complex 1 subunit sigma 3, with no coding region annotated. The transcript is spliced from 6 exons. NCBI's taxonomy places the organism in Eukaryota, Metazoa, Chordata, Mammalia, Rodentia, Cricetidae. The record is from RefSeq and is a predicted model, not a curated record.
GCGGGGUGGAGUCUGCAAACUUUCAGUUCGAGGGCAUUGUGGGAAGUAGCCAUGGUCUGAGGCUGGCGCCUCACCUGUCAGCCGGUGUGGCUGCUACGCUCUCCCCUGGCUGUCGCAUCCUGGGCCAUCGCAGCUGUCGCAACCCGGGCGGCUGCGGCCACCAUGAUACAUUUCAUCUUGCUCUUCAGUCGACAAGGGAAACUUCGGCUGCAGAAAUGGUACACCACGCUCCCUGACAAAGAGAGGAAGAAGAUCACCCGGGAGAUCAUCCAGGCUGUCCUCUCUCGUGGGCACAGGACGAGCAGCUUCAUUGACUGGAAGGAGCUGAAACUUGUUUAUAAAAGGUAUGCUAGUUUAUAUUUUUGCUGUGCAAUAGAAAAUCAGGACAAUGAGCUCUUGACACUAGAGAUUGUACAUCGUUAUGUGGAGUUGCUGGACAAGUACUUUGGAAAUGUCUGUGAGCUGGAUAUUAUCUUUAAUUUUGAAAAGGCGUAUUUUAUCCUUGAUGAAUUUAUAAUAGGUGGAGAAAUUCAGGAAACAUCCAAGAAAACGGCAGUCAAGGCCAUUGAAGAGUCUGAUAUGUUACAGGAGCAGGUCAAGAGUCAAGAGGAUUUCAAGAAUUGUAAAGUGCCCUUUUAAAAUUGGUACUAAGGCCAUUCUUCCUGCUAUUUGGAAAUAAGAGACUGAUUAAGUUAAUAAGACAUUAGGCAUGAUUUCCCAGCAACUGUCUUGGCAAUACUUUGAGCUGAUUACUUACUCCUGCCCAUGGAGGGACUCCAUCCUCAGACAAUGGAAGAAUACAUGAACAAGCCCACGUUUUAACUGUGCAGUCUACUUGAAGAUUCUGAGUGCUUCGUGUUGGGAAUCAACCAAUGAGCAACUCUUUGCAUCCAGUCUCCACACAGCUUCUGGCUCCAUGCCAAAAAUAAUUUAAAGGGAUUGUUGUUAGCAUAACGUAUUUAUAGUUGCUACAUGUCUGUAUUAUACUGUGUAUCAGUACUCAUUGUGGCUCUAGUUGUUUCAAAUAAUUGCUGCAGAUUGAAUAGUUGUUUGCCGUGUUUGUGGAAUUUUUUAAACGUAAUUUCAAAUAUUAGUUGCAAUAUAAUAAUUUUUGUUGCCAUUUGAUCGGUCUACCUUUAGGCUGACAACUACUUUGUGAUAACACACAAUUUUGAAUGUAAAGUAUAUUUUAUAUAACAAAUGCCUUUCCUAAAUGUUUUUAAAAGGUACAUGAAUUCAAAUUUAUGUUACUAGUUCAGAUUUCAUACAUGAUACAGACAUUUUUAAAUGUUCAAUACUACUAUAAUUUCAGGUCAGAUACAAUUUAUAUGACUUUAAUGUUUUGAAUUCAAGUUAUUUUCUUCAGAAUUGGGAUAGAACUUUAUAAAUGAUUUUGAUGUUUUAGAAGGUGCUAGAUUGAGUUUUUUUUAAACUUUACUUUCAAUUGAAUAUAAGGGACAUUUCAAUAAGGUUAUGUUUUCUACAAGCUACCUAUUUAUUAUGGUUUCAGGAGAUCUGGAGAUAAAAUAUUACAGUAUCUCCUAUUAUUACCAAAGUACUAACAAAGGAAUAGCUAGAUCAAUAAUUGUAAUCUCCACUACUAUUUUACAUCUCAUGUUCCAAUUAAUCCUUGUGAUCGAGAGGCUUCUUCAAAUAAUUUUAAUGUAAGCUGAAUGCAUUAGGUUUCCUUAGGGCAUGUAUUUUCAUUGUGUCCUUUAUGGGAGGUGACGCUAUUCCUUUUUCCUCUCCUCUUCCCCAGGAAAAUAUUUUCUGCUGACCACUAUUAUUGUGACCAUAUCACCUUCAUGCUUCCAAAACAAACGUUCUGCAUAGUCAGGUACUGAGUGUGCUCAGACAUGAAGUAGGGAGUUGCUUUGUGGCGUUUGUUCUCAGCGCCCGUGUCUGGAGUUUCGGGUAUGCAUUUUCAUUGUGAGUGUCAGAGUCUGAUAUCAUCCAUAUCAGAGUGCUUAGGACGCUUACGAUUUUCCUAAGACAAUAGUGAGCUUGAGUUUGGGUUCUGUGGGAGAUCUCGAAAGGGAACAUGACGGUUUGUUGCCUUUGGUUCAUUUCAUCAGUCAUAUUUAAGGCAUGAUGGCAAAACCAGAAUGGAAGAACAGUCAAACGGACCCAUUCCUCAAUAUAACCAUUUAUAUAAAGGCAAUAAUUCAGUUUGCAUAUGAGGAAAUAAAUGGACUUUUAAUAGCUGACGUAGCUUCAGAUUAAUAAUAUGACUAUGGUGGCUGGUUGAUAUUUGUCCCUUUUGAACAACUUUGUUUAGACAGACUUCAGGUUUGUGCACUAACUUAAAAAAAUUGGUUAAGAAUCUUUGUUUUUCAAACAUUUUGUAAAACUGAACUUUCUGUAAUUUCAGAGGUUUUCUGGUUCCUUCGCAGUGUUUUUGAAUGAAGGUAUCAUAAAAUGUACUGCUUAUAUUCUGGAUAGAAACACUUUUGACACUGUCCAACUUGUACAAGGAUUCUUCCUGUCGAUGUACACAUAGAAAGUGAUUAUAUUUAUAUUACAUACUGGGGUAAAUUCAAAAGAUUUGAGGAAUGGCUUACAUGAACUUUAGUGAAAAUCAUUAUGCAUAUUUUAUUAUUACAAAAGUCUAAGAAAAGUACCAAGUGAAAAGAAAAAUAAUACUGAAUUUGUAUAAAACUUCCAAAUAAAAUGUUAAAAGAUGUUGAUAAUGAA